Molecule: ribosomal RNA, 489 nt
Filed under: uncultured bacterium
Lineage: Bacteria
Description: partial 16S ribosomal RNA
Rfam family: Bacterial small subunit ribosomal RNA
Source: RNAcentral
GAUGAACGCUGGCGGCGUGCUUAACACAUGCAAGUCGAACGGUGAACCCGGAGCUUGCUCUGUGGGAUCAGUGGCGAACGGGUGAGUAACACGUGAGCAACCUGCCCCUGACUCUGGGAUAAGCGCUGGAAACGGCGUCUAAUACUGGAUAUGUGACGUGACCGCAUGGUCUGCGUUUGGAAAGAUUUUUCGGUUGGGGAUGGGCUCGCGGCCUAUCAGCUUGUUGGUGAGGUAGUGGCUCACCAAGGGGUCGACGGGUAGCCGGCCUGAGGGGGUGACCGGCCCCAGGGGAACGGGGACGGGGUCCAGACGCCUACGGGAGGCAGCAGUAGGGAAUCUGACGCAAUGGGCGAAAGCCUGACGGAGCAACGCCGCGUGAGUGAUGAAGGUCUGCGGAGCGUAAAACUCUGUUAUGAGGGAAGAAAAAAUGGGUAAGUAAAGAUGCACGUCGUGACGGGACCUAACCAGAAAGCCACGGCUAACUACGUG